Long non-coding RNA from Gadus morhua (Atlantic cod), 1817 nucleotides. NCBI's taxonomy places the organism in Eukaryota, Metazoa, Chordata, Actinopteri, Gadiformes, Gadidae. The record is from Ensembl.
CUAAUACUCAUAAUGCAGACCACCACAACAAAAAGCCUCGUGGUGGUUUGUAUAUUGUGCAAUGGUUCAAUGGAAGUACAACGCAGUGCUAGCACUUCUCAACAGGAACACUGUGUGGGUGUGUGUGUGUGUGUGUGUGUGUGUGUGUGUGUGUGUGUGUGUGCCCAACCCCCCACACAGGCUGUCCCUCUCAGAAAUGGUGGACCUGAAGAAGUUACGCUUCUUCAUGGUCCCUCCGGACGGAGGCUCUGUCGUGACCUCGCCCGUCAGCUCCUCCACGUCCAGAGACAGGUGUUAUGAAGAGCGCUGACUAAAUGGCCUACCGUUGGAGGCGGACCUCUUCCCCUUGCGGGCCAGGGUGAGCUGGACCUGCUGCUGGACCCGGACGCUCCGGUCGACGGAGUGGAACCUGGCCGGGCUCAGGAGGCUGUGCUCGGCCGGCAGGGCCAGCCUGCUGUCGUCCAGGACCUGAGGGGGGAGAACGGACUUGAAGCAACCCUCGUCCCCCAUCCCGGAUCCCCCCGGUGUCGGUCCACGACGGCUGGUCGUCUCCCCCUGUUGUGAGGGCAUCACUUCUCCGGUAUCGGUUACGUAUUGUCGUCCGCCUGUGUGUGUUUUAUGGGACAGACCCGGUGCGCGGUGCCAGUGAAGUGCGCCAGGACGGUGUAAAGUUGCUAUGCUUUGUUUCAGGGCGUCACCCGGCGUCAUUUUACCCGAGGCUCUGUUAAAGCGAGACGCCCCGUUCCGCGGGUUCAGGUGAGAAGCUGAACGACAGUUGAGUCAUUUGCGUGGCGAGGGAAUGACGGCGGUGGAUGACACUGAGUGGUGUUGUUUUUUUACUUGAAAUUGUAGAUUAAAGCACACAUGAACACGUGCACACACACACACACGAACACGUGCACACACACACACACACACGCGUAUUUCUGUGUGUGUGUGUGUGUGUGUGUGAGAGCCAUGAUGUAUUAGAUCCAGAAUUGAUAAGCCCCCUUCAUGGCGGUCAACAGACGGCUUCCUUCCUCCUUCACAGGUCUGUCCUGUUAUCCCCCCUCCACCGCCAUGGAGGACUCCGAGUCCAUCUACUCCCCCUGCUGGUCGAUGGUCAUACUGCAGCUCAAUUAAGAUCCCUGACAAUAUAUUGCUUGAAUUUUCCCGAUGGUAACCUUUCUUUCUGUUUUCUUCUUUAAGGCGAACAAUUUGUCUGUCUUUUGUUUAAUUGUGUUUGGAACUUCGUCAUCAAGGAAUAAUCCUUAUAUUCGUUUUUACGAGCUGUAGUGGACGACACGUGACCCUAGGGGGCAGUAAGGAAGCAUACAAGUCAUUCUUUGAACUUUCAUGUGUCAUUAAAACUACAUUUAGAUUAACAUCAGACUAGCUCUUAGAAAUCAUACGUUUUACACAUACACACAACCCUACAUCUGUGUGAACUACAUCCUGAGGAACUGACAAAAACGGGGGGCACGUAUCGACGUCUGAUGUCGCAUAAGUGUUGGUGAUGAAAUGGCCUGUGAUGGAUGAGCGGUUUAUCACAGCCGGUGUUAAAAUAAGGGCCCCUCUUUUCAUGAGACAGAGCUGAACAUCAUAGUCAUGCAGCUAUUAGUUCAUAAUAAUAAAAAAUAUUCCAUAUAAUGGUUAAGGAUUUAUUUGAUUCGUCAAAUAAGGUUUAAACGACCGGAUAUGCACAUUUUUAGGUUUGCCACCAAACCAACUGACAUUUUUUUUGCACAAGAGUGUUUUCAUUUCGUUGAUUGAAGUAACAUCUGUAGUCUCUCUCCCUCUCUCUCCCACACAUACAAAAUAAACGGGGUCACAUGUCG